RNAcentral lists this ribosomal RNA (604 nucleotides) under fungal endophyte. RNAcentral describes it as "eukaryotic LSU rRNA". The stretch from base 192 to 345 matches the Rfam family "5.8S ribosomal RNA". The record is from RNAcentral. Lineage: Eukaryota; Fungi.
GCGGAGGGAUCAUUAAAGAGUUCUAUAACUCCCAAACCCAUGUGAACAUACCUAACGUUGCCUCGGCAGGUCGCACCUACCUUGUAGCACCCUACCCUGUAGGGCCUACCCGGGAGGUGCGGGUAAGCCUGCCGGCGGCCCACCAAACUCUGUUUGAUAUUGAAUUCUGAACCUAUAACUAAAUAAGUUAAAACUUUCAACAACGGAUCUCUUGGUUCUGGCAUCGAUGAAGAACGCAGCGAAAUGCGAUAAGUAAUGUGAAUUGCAGAAUUCAGUGAAUCAUCGAAUCUUUGAACGCAUAUUGCGCCCAUUAGUAUUCUAGUGGGCAGGACCGUUCGAGCGUCAUUUCAACCCUUAAGCCUUCGUUGCUUAGUGUUGGGAGCCUACGGCAACGUAGCUCCUCAAAGUUAGUGGCGGAGUUGGUUCACACUCUAGACGUAGUAAUUUUUUAUCUCGCCUAUUAGUUGGACUAAUCCCCUGCCGUAAAACCCCCAAUUUAUCAAGGUUGACCUCGAAUCGGUUCAGACAAACUCGCUAAAUUGAAGCAUCUUAGUCAGCGAAGGAAAAGAAACCAACAGGGAUUGCCCUAGUAACGGCGAGUGAA